Long non-coding RNA from Magnolia sinica, 549 nucleotides. RefSeq lists it as uncharacterized. The transcript is spliced from 3 exons. The record is from RefSeq and is a predicted model, not a curated record. NCBI's taxonomy places the organism in Eukaryota, Viridiplantae, Streptophyta, Magnoliopsida, Magnoliales, Magnoliaceae.
UUGAAAACUUAGUUAUUUUUGUGUUUGUGUGUGUAUUUUCUUAUUGAUGUGUGGAUGGAUGCAGCUUGGAGAUAUGGUGCAGCCAAGGGCUAGUGCUUAUAUCAGGCCUCCUCCCCAAUCCUGAAAUUUCACUCGAUUCCAUUUCUGUAUGUAUGAAUUAUCUGACGUGGGACAUGAUGUUCAUGUUGGGCCUCAGUACAGCAGCCAGCAUUCGAGUAGGCAAUGAGCUUGGGGCCGCACAUCCAAGGGUGGCUAUAUUUUUCGUGUUCGUCGUGGUGGGGACGUUCGUCAUCAUCAGCCUAAUCUUCAGCGCUGUUGUUUUGAUAUUUCAUUCCCCAUUAAGCAAGCUUAUUAUUAGUGAUAGUGAGGUUAUUGAGGCAGUCUCCAACCUGACUCCAUUGCUUGCCAUCUCUGUCUUCUUGAAUGGAAUUCAACCAAUUCUUUCAGGUAUUAUAUACAUCCUAACAAGACAAAAUGCUAUCAUGGAGUGUGGAAAACAUGUUUGGUGAGAGAGACUGUUGAUCCGGUGGGCCACUGGUGGAGACAUCC